AUUCAAUUAGUUUAAUAAAAACAUUAAAUUGUGAUUUUAAAGAUAAAUAAGUUUAUUGAAUA
RNAcentral lists this transfer RNA (62 nucleotides) under Cicadettana calliope. RNAcentral's name for it is "tRNA-His". The record is from RNAcentral. Lineage: Eukaryota; Metazoa; Arthropoda; Insecta; Hemiptera; Cicadidae.